Molecule: ribosomal RNA, 473 nt
Filed under: uncultured bacterium
Lineage: Bacteria
Description: bacterial SSU rRNA
Rfam family: Bacterial small subunit ribosomal RNA
Source: RNAcentral
AGGACGAACGCUGGCGGCGUGCCUAACACAUGCAAGUCGAGCGAUGAAACCCUUCGGGGUGGAUUAGCGGCGGACGGGUGAGUAACACGUGGGUAACCUGCCUCAAAGAGGGGGAUAGCCUCCCGAAAGGGAGAUUAAUACCGCAUAACAUUAUUUCUUCGCAUGAAGAGAUAAUCAAAGGAGUAAUCCGCUUUGAGAUGGACCCGCGGCGCAUUAGCUAGUUGGUGAGGUAAUGGCUCACCAAGGCAACGAUGCGUAGCCAACCUGAGAGGGUGAUCGGCCACAUUGGAACUGAGAUACGGUCCAGACUCCUACGGGAGGCAGCAGUGGGGAAUAUUGCGCAAUGGGGGAAACCCUGACGCAGCAACGCCGCGUGGGUGAAGAAGGCCUUCGGGUUGUAAAGCUCUGUCUUCUGGGACGAUAAUGACGGUACCAGAGGAGGAAGCCACGGCUAACUACGUGCCAGCCGCUGC